Molecule: ribosomal RNA, 424 nt
Filed under: uncultured bacterium
Lineage: Bacteria
Description: partial 16S ribosomal RNA
Rfam family: Bacterial small subunit ribosomal RNA
Source: RNAcentral
AAUAUUGGACAAUGGGCGAAAGCCUGAUCCAGCCAUGCCGCGUGUGUGAAGAAGGUCUUCGGAUUGUAAAGCACGUUAAGUUGGGAGGAAGGGCAGUAAGUUAAUACCUUGCUGUUUUGACGUUACCGACAGAAUAAGCACCGGCCAACUUCGUGCCAGCAGCCCCGUUAAUACGAAGGGGGCAAGCGUUAAUCGGAAUUACUGGGCGGAAAGCGGGCGUAGGUGGUUUGUUAAGUUGAAAGAGAAAGCCCCGGGCUCAACCUGGGAACUGCUUUCAAAACUGACGAGCUAGAGUACGGUAGAGGGUAGUGGAAUUUCCUGUGUAGCGGUGAAAUGCGUAGAUAUAGGAAGGAACAUCAGUGGCGAAGGCGACUACCUGGACUGAUACUGACACUGAGGUGCGAAAGCGUGGGGAGCAAACAGG